UACGGAGGGAGCUAGCGUUGUUCGGAAUUACUGGGCGUAAAGCGCGCGUAGGCGGUCUAUUAAGUCAGGGGUGAAAUCCCGGGGCUCAACCCCGGAACUGCCUUUGAAACUGCUAGACUAGAAUCUUGGAGAGGCGAGUGGAAUUCCGAGUGUAGAGGUGAAAUUCGUAGAUAUUCGGAAGAACACCAGUGGCGAAGGCGACUCGCUGGACAAGUAUUGACGCUGAGGAGCGAAAGCGUGGGGAGCAAACAGG
RNAcentral lists this unclassified non-coding RNA (253 nucleotides) under uncultured Sphingomonadaceae bacterium. Its description in RNAcentral is "contains 16S-23S intergenic spacer region". It matches the Rfam family "Bacterial small subunit ribosomal RNA", at positions 524 to 776 of the family's 1533-position model. Lineage: Bacteria; Pseudomonadati; Pseudomonadota; Alphaproteobacteria; Sphingomonadales; Sphingomonadaceae. The record is from RNAcentral.